Molecule: ribosomal RNA, 305 nt
Filed under: uncultured bacterium
Lineage: Bacteria
Description: bacterial SSU rRNA
Rfam family: Bacterial small subunit ribosomal RNA
Source: RNAcentral
UGCUUCCUACGGGGCGCAGCAGUGAGGAAUAUUGGUCAAUGGACGAGAGUCUGAACCAGCCAAGUAGCGUGAAGGAUGACUGCCCUAUGGGUUGUAAACUUCUUUUAUAUGGGAAUAAAACGUUCCACGUGUGGGAUUUUGUAUGUACCAUAUGAAUAAGGAUCGGCUAACUCCGUGCCAGCAGCCGCGGUAAUACGGAGGAUGCGAGCGUUAUCCGGAUUUAUUGGGUUUAAAGGGUGCGCAGGCGGAAUGUCAAGUCAGCGGUAAAAUUUCGGGGCUCAACCCCGUCGUGCCGUUGAAACUGG